GCAAGUCGAGCGGUAACAGAGAUAGCUUGCUAUCUGCUGACGAGCGGCGGACGGGUGAGUAAUGCUUGGGAAUAUGCCUUUGAGUGGGGGACAACAGUUGGAAACGACUGCUAAUACCGCAUAACGUCUACGGACCAAAGGGGGGGAUGCUUCGGCACCUCUCGCCAUUUGAUUAGCCCAAGUGAGAUUAGCUAGUAGGUGAGGUAAAGGCUCACCUAGGCGACGAUCUCUAGCUGGUUUGAGAGGAUGAUC
This 252-nucleotide ribosomal RNA is filed under the name uncultured bacterium. RNAcentral describes it as "partial 16S ribosomal RNA". It matches the Rfam family "Bacterial small subunit ribosomal RNA", at positions 57 to 305 of the family's 1533-position model. The record is from RNAcentral.